UCUAGGUGGCUAAUCAACCCCAUACACGGGCUGAAUGUGCUUUUAACAAAGCACAUGUCAGAGCGCGGUCUGUGAUCAAGAGAACUUUUGCGGUUCUUAAAAGCCUCUUCCACUGCCUGGACAAGUCGGGAGGCAGCCUCAUGUACAGCCCCACUAAAGUUGCCCAGAUAGUUGUAGCCUGUGCUGUCCUGCACAAUGUAGCUAUCCGGCAUGGCUUACCUGGUUUUGUGGCUGAGGACCUGGAUGACCUAAUCCAUCCAAUCCAUCCUGUCCAAAGUGCAGAUGACAGAGGCAAUCAAGUCUGGGCAGAAAUCGUUAACGAUUACUUUUCCUGAUCCUGUCGGUGUGGCGAGAGGAGCUGAUUUGAGGAGUGUCCAGCCAAGUGUCUUCUGCCACCUUUUUGAAAAAAAAAAGUUAAUUUCAAUCUUUUGAAUAAUGUUCAUGAUGCCCGGAAAACUUAAUGGCCAAUAAUGUUUAUCAUUUCUUUUACAACAUUACAAAG
Long non-coding RNA from Xenopus tropicalis (tropical clawed frog), 502 nucleotides. RefSeq lists it as uncharacterized. NCBI's taxonomy places the organism in Eukaryota, Metazoa, Chordata, Amphibia, Anura, Pipidae. The transcript has 2 exons. The record is from RefSeq and is a predicted model, not a curated record.